GACGAACGCUGGCGGCGUGCCUAACACAUGCAAGUCAAGGCGGUAGCAAUACCGACUGGCGCACGGGUGCGGAACACGUAGGUAAUCUGCCCUUUAGGGGAGAACAACUCAUCGAAAGGUGAGCUAAAUCUCCGUAAUGUUUUACUAUGGCAUCAUAGUUCAACCAAGUUUUCUAAGGGAUGAGCCUGCGUCUGAUUAGCUAGUUGGUGAGGUAACUGCUCACCAAGGCUACGAUCAGUAGCUGGUCUGAGAGGAUGAUCAGCCACAUUGGGACUGAGACACGGCCCAAACUCCUAGGGAGGCAGCAGUGGGGAAUAUUGGACAAUGGGGGCAACCCUGAUCCAGCAUGCCGCGUGAGUGAUGAAGGCCCUA
Molecule: ribosomal RNA, 372 nt
Filed under: uncultured bacterium
Lineage: Bacteria
Description: bacterial SSU rRNA
Rfam family: Bacterial small subunit ribosomal RNA
Source: RNAcentral